Molecule: ribosomal RNA, 373 nt
Filed under: uncultured bacterium
Lineage: Bacteria
Description: bacterial SSU rRNA
Rfam family: Bacterial small subunit ribosomal RNA
Source: RNAcentral
AGCGAACGCUGGCGGCAGGCUUAACACAUGCAAGUACGAGCGGGCGUAGCGAUACGUCAGCGGCAGACGGGUGAGUAACGCGUGGGAACGUACCUUUUGGUUCGGAACAACACAGGGAAACUUGUGCUAAUACCGGAUAAGCCCUUACGGGGAAAGAUUUAUCGCCGAAAGAUCGGCCCGCGUCUGAUUAGCUAGUUGGUAGGGUAAUGGCCUACCAAGGCGACGAUCAGUAGCUGGUCUGAGAGGAUGAUCAGCCACAUUGGGACUGAGACACGGCCCAAACUCCUACGGGAGGCAGCAGUGGGGAAUAUUGGACAAUGGGGGCAACCCUGAUCCAGCCAUGCCGCGUGAGUGAUGAAGGCCCUAGGGUUGU